AUGAAGAGGAAAAAGAAGGAGGCGCUGCGGGGAGAGGCGGCGCCAACACACUGGCGCCAGAUGCGAAAGAUCUGCGUCGUCGAGCUGCUCAGCGCGAUGCAGGUGCGGCGCAUCCAGUCCAUCAUGCAGGCCGAGAUCGCGCACCUCGUGGAGUCGGUCGUCGCCGCGUCCUCUGCCUCGCCGUCCUCCGGCUCCGCCGUCAUCGAUGUCGGCAAGGGGCUGGCCAGGCUGACCAACAGCGUCAUCGCGAGGGCGGUGUUCGGCGGCAAGUCUCGGCAGCAGGAGGCGUACCUCCGGGAGCUCGACGUAAUGGCGAUUCUCGGGGGAGGGUUCAGCUUGGUGGACCUUUUCCCGUCGUCCCGGCUGGUGCGGUGGCUGAGCAGCUCCGGCCGCGCCAUGAGGAGGCUCCACUCCCGGAUGCAGAGCAUCCUAGGAGACAUCAUCCAAGAUCGAAAGGAGACCAAAGUACCGAAUGCUGCUACCGCUAGAGACAACGAGGACCUGCUGGACGUGCUCCUCAGGCUGGGCAAGGAAGACACCCUCAGUUUCCCUCUCACGUCCGAGAUCAUCAGCGCCGUCAUCUUUGAUAUAUUUUCAGCUGCUACGGACACCACGGCUGCCACGCUAGAAUGGGCCAUGGCAGAGCUCGUCCGCAACCCGCAGGCAAUGGCAAGGGCGAAACUUGAAGUCCGACAGAUGCUCGGGCAUCGCCGCAGCUCCAACAUCACGAGCGCCGACCUCGUCGGCCUGCACUAUCUUCGGAUGGUCAUCAAGGAAACGCUGAGGCUGCACCCCUCCGCGCCGCUGAUCCACCGGGCGAGCCAGGAGAAUUGCCGGGUCAUGGGCUACGACAUACCCAAGGGCACCGCCGUCAUGAUAAACGCCUUCGCAGUGGGGAGGGACACGGCGCACUGGGGAGCGGACGCCGCGGAGUUCAGGCCGGAGAGGUUCGAGGGCAUGAGCGUGGAGUACAGCUCGCAAGGACCGCACAUGGAGUACAUCCCGUUUGGAGCUGGCCGUAGGCAGUGCCCUGGAGCCCUGUUCGCGACCACCAUGCUCGAGCUCGUGUUGGCCAACCUGCUGUAUCACUUUGACUGGGCGAUUCCCGGUGGGGCAGGCCCGGAGACGCUGGACAUGGGCGAGGUGUUUGGGAUCAUCGUGCAUACUAGGUCCAGCCUGCACCUGCAGGCAUCCUCAGCAUGCCAUCUACAAGACCAGACCAUCGGUGAACUGUCCUAG
This 1239-nucleotide ribosomal RNA is filed under the name Triticum aestivum (bread wheat). RNAcentral's name for it is "partial small subunit ribosomal RNA". Lineage: Eukaryota; Viridiplantae; Streptophyta; Magnoliopsida; Poales; Poaceae. The record is from RNAcentral.